Molecule: ribosomal RNA, 113 nt
Filed under: Vibrio cholerae
Lineage: Bacteria; Pseudomonadati; Pseudomonadota; Gammaproteobacteria; Vibrionales; Vibrionaceae
Description: partial 23S ribosomal RNA
Rfam family: Bacterial large subunit ribosomal RNA (bases 1-91)
Source: RNAcentral
UUGUUCGAGACUAGAACGUUGAUAGGCAGGGUGUGUAAGCGUUGUGAGGCGUUGAGCUAACCUGUACUAAUUGCCCGUGAGGCUUAACCAUACAACACCCAAGGGGUUUUGUA